Molecule: ribosomal RNA, 198 nt
Filed under: uncultured bacterium
Lineage: Bacteria
Description: partial 16S ribosomal RNA
Rfam family: Bacterial small subunit ribosomal RNA
Source: RNAcentral
CUCCUACGGGAGGCAGCAGUGGGGAAUAUUGCGCAAUGGAGGAAACUCUGACGCAGCGACGCCGCGUGGGUGAUGAAGGCCUUCGGGUUGUAAAGCCCUGUCGGCUGGGAAAAAGAUUAUUGCACUAACACUGCAGUAGUUUGAUGGUACCAGCAAAGGAAGCACCGGCUAACCCUGUGCCAGCCGCCGCGGUAAUUC